RNAcentral lists this ribosomal RNA (397 nucleotides) under uncultured bacterium. RNAcentral's name for it is "bacterial SSU rRNA". It matches the Rfam family "Bacterial small subunit ribosomal RNA", at positions 30 to 429 of the family's 1533-position model. The record is from RNAcentral.
AUUGAACGCUGGCGGCAUGCCUUACACAUGCAAGUCGAACGGCAGCGCGGGGCAACCUGGCGGCGAGUGGCGAACGGGUGAGUAAAAUAUCGGAACAUACCCUAGAGUGGGGGAUAACGUAGCGAAAGUUACGCUAAUACCGCAUACGCACUAAGGUGGAAAGUGGGGGAUCUUCGGACCUCAUGCUCAUGGAGUGGCCGAUAUCUGAUUAGCUAGUUGGUGAGGUAAAGGCUCACCAAGGCGACGAUCAGUAGCUGGUUUGAGAGAACGACCAGCCACACUGGAACUGAGACACGGUCCAGACUCCUACGGGAGGCAGCAGUGGGGAAUUUUGGACAAUGGGGGGCAACCCUGAUCCAGCAAUGCCGCGUGAGUGAAGAAGGCCUCGGGUUGUAAG